AUACGUUAGGAACAUGCCUUUGGGUGGGGGAUAAACUAUUGGAAACGAUAGCUAAUACCGCAUAACGUCUACGGACCAAAGGGGGCUUUCGGGCUCCCGACCCAGAGAGUGGCCUAAGCGGAGAUUAGCUUGUUGGUGAGGUAAAGGCUCACCAAGGCGACGAUCCUCUAGCUGUUCUGAGAGGAAGAUCAGCCGACACUGGAACUGAGUACACGGGUCCAGGACUCCUACGGGAGGCAGCAGUGGGGAAUUUUGGACAAUACGGGCGCAAGCCUGGAUCCAGCAAAUGCCGCGUGAGUG
This 300-nucleotide ribosomal RNA is filed under the name uncultured Glaciecola sp. RNAcentral describes it as "bacterial SSU rRNA". It matches the Rfam family "Bacterial small subunit ribosomal RNA", at positions 112 to 407 of the family's 1533-position model. The record is from RNAcentral. Lineage: Bacteria; Pseudomonadati; Pseudomonadota; Gammaproteobacteria; Alteromonadales; Alteromonadaceae.